This is a long non-coding RNA of Amphibalanus amphitrite, 203 nucleotides long. RefSeq lists it as uncharacterized. The transcript is spliced from 3 exons. The record is from RefSeq and is a predicted model, not a curated record. NCBI's taxonomy places the organism in Eukaryota, Metazoa, Arthropoda, Thecostraca, Balanomorpha, Balanidae.
CAAGCCGGCUCUAAGACGCCGAUUUAUCGGUGUAUGGCGACGCUCGAGACCAAUGGUGUCUGGUCCGCCAGUCAGCAUGAGCAGACUCUGAACGGUGCGGCAGUGCAGGAGGGAGUGUAGCGCCGGUAUACAGCUACCACCAGACAUCCGUCCACCGGCCAGUCACCACUGAUCUACCAGCAAGAUAAGUGUUUCUUUUAUCG